Podarcis lilfordi (Lilford's wall lizard) is the source of this 78-nucleotide non-coding RNA. Lineage: Eukaryota; Metazoa; Chordata; Lepidosauria; Squamata; Lacertidae. The record is from the annotation of a GenBank genome assembly.
GCCUUAUAUCAGGAGCUCAGUUGGUCGAGUAGGAGGCUCUUAAUCUCGGGGUCAUGGGUUUGAGCCUCAUGCUGGGCA